CGUAGGAGGCAAGCGUUAUCCGGAUUCACUGGGCGUAAAGCGCGUGCAGGCGGUGCGGUAAGUUGGGCGUGAAAUCUCCCGGCUCAACUGGGAGAGGUCGUUCAAUACUACCGUACUUGAGAGCAGAAGAGGAAAAUGGAAUUCCCGGUGUAGUGGUGAAAUGCGUAGAUAUCGGGAGGAACACCAGUGGCGAAGGCGAUUUUCUGGUCUGUUUCUGACGCUCAGACGCGACAGCUAGGGUAGUAAACGGGAUUAGAGACCCCGGUAAUCCUAGCCGUAAACGAUGUGAACUUGGCGUUGGUGGGUUAAACUCCAUCAGUGCCGCAGCAAACGCGAUAAGUUCACCGCCUGGGGACUACGGCCGCAAGGUUA
Molecule: ribosomal RNA, 372 nt
Filed under: uncultured organism
Description: bacterial SSU rRNA
Rfam family: Bacterial small subunit ribosomal RNA
Source: RNAcentral